GCUACGGGUGGCUGCAGUGAGGAAUAUUGGUCAAUGGGCGCGAGCCUGAACCAGCCAAGUCGCGUGAGGGAAGACGGUCCUAUGGAUUGUAAACCUCUUUUGUCGGGGAGCAAAAGACGCCACGCGUGGCGUUCCGAGAGUACCCGAAGAAAAAGCAUCGGAUAACUCCGGGCCAGCAGCCGCGGUAAUUCGGAGGAUGCGAGCGUUAUCCGGAUUUCUUGGGUUUAAAGGGUGUGCAGGCGGGAGAUCAAGGUAGAGGUAAAAUGGAGAGGUGCAACCUCUUCGAGUCGUUGAAACUGGUUUUCUUGAGUGAGCGAGAAGUAUGCGGAAUGCGUGGUGUAGCGGUGAAAUGCAUAGAUA
RNAcentral lists this ribosomal RNA (360 nucleotides) under uncultured bacterium. RNAcentral describes it as "partial 16S ribosomal RNA". It matches the Rfam family "Bacterial small subunit ribosomal RNA", at positions 338 to 696 of the family's 1533-position model. The record is from RNAcentral.